UACGUAGGGACCAAGCGUUGUCCGGAAUCAUUGGGCGUAAAGAGCGUGUAGGCGGCUUGUUAAGUCUUGCGUGAAAUCUCGGGGCUCAACCCCGAGCGGUCGUGAGAGACUGGCAGGCUAGAGUGCGGGAGAGGAGAGUGGAAUUCCUGGUGUAGCGGUGAAAUGCGCAGAUAUCAGGAAGAACACCCGUGGCGAAGGCGGCUCUCUGGAACGCAACUGACGCUGAGACGCGAAAGCGUGGGGAGCAAACAGG
RNAcentral lists this ribosomal RNA (253 nucleotides) under uncultured bacterium. RNAcentral describes it as "partial 16S ribosomal RNA". It matches the Rfam family "Bacterial small subunit ribosomal RNA", at positions 524 to 776 of the family's 1533-position model. The record is from RNAcentral.